Molecule: ribosomal RNA, 264 nt
Filed under: uncultured bacterium
Lineage: Bacteria
Description: partial 16S ribosomal RNA
Rfam family: Bacterial small subunit ribosomal RNA
Source: RNAcentral
UGGCGACCGGCGCACGGGUGAGUAACACGUAUCCAACCUGCCGAUGACUCGGGGAUAGCCUUUCGAAAGAAAGAUUAAUACCCGAUGGCAUAGUUCUUCCGCAUGGUAGAACUAUUAAAGAAUUUCGGUCAUCGAUGGAGAUGCGUUCCAUUAGCUUGUUGGCGGGGUAACGGCCCACCAAGGCAUCGAUGGAUAGGGGUUCUGAGAGGAAGGUCCCCCACAUUGGAACUGAGACACGGUCCAAACUCCUACGGGAGGCAGCAG